AUGGGGGAAAAUGGACUCAGUUUGUGCAGAUAUUUGGGUCCUGAGGUUCAUCUUCCUCUUCUUCAUCUUCCCCUUCUUCCGCGUGCUGGCCCACGGCACGCGCAUCAAGAUCUGCACCUGAUGGUCGGGGGCAAAAAUGGGGGGAAUGGACUCAGUUUGUGCAGGUGUUUGGGUCCUGAGGUUCUUCUUCAUCCUCCUCCUCUUCCUCUUUGGCCCGCGCAUCAAGAUCUGCACCUGAUGGUCGGGGUGGAAAAUGGGGGGGAAAUGGACUCAGUUUGUGCAGGUGUUUGGGUCCUGAGGUUCUUCUACUUUCUCUUCAUCUUCCCCUUCUUCCGCGUGCUGGCCCACGGCACCGCAUCAAAAUCUGCACCUGAUGGUCGGGGUGGAAAAUGGGGGAAAUGGACUCAGUUUGUGCAGGUGUUUGGGUCCUGAGGUUCAUCUUCCUCUUCUUCAUCUUCCCCUUCUUCCGCGUGCUGGCCUGCGGCACCGCAUCAAGAUCUGCACCUGAUGGUCGGGGGCAAAAAUGGGGGGAAUGGACUCAGUUUGUGCAGGUGUUUGGGUCCUGAGGUUCAUCUUCCUUGUCUUCAUCCUCCUCCUCUUCCUCUUCGG
Zonotrichia albicollis (white-throated sparrow) is the source of this 609-nucleotide long non-coding RNA. Lineage: Eukaryota; Metazoa; Chordata; Aves; Passeriformes; Passerellidae. The record is from Ensembl.